Molecule: ribosomal RNA, 442 nt
Filed under: uncultured bacterium
Lineage: Bacteria
Description: partial 16S ribosomal RNA
Rfam family: Bacterial small subunit ribosomal RNA
Source: RNAcentral
CCUACGGGUGGCAGCAGUGGGGAAUAUUGGGCAAUGGGCGCAAGCCUGACCCAGCAAUGCCGCGUGAAGGAAGAAGGCUUUCGGGUUGUAAACUUCUUUGACAGGGGAAGAGCAGAAGACGGUACCCUGAAAACAAGCCACGGCAAACUACGUGCCAGCAGCCACGGUAAUACGUAGGGGGGAAGUGUUGUCCGGAUUUACUGGGUGUAAAGGGCGUGUAGCCGGGAAGGCAAGUCUGAUGUGAAAUCUGGGGGCUCAACCUCCAAAUUGCAUUUGAAACUGUUUUGCUUGAGUACUGGAGAGGCAGGCGGAAUUCCUUGUGUAGCGGUGAAAUGCGUAGAUAUAAGGAGGAACACCAGUGGCGAAGGCGGUCUGCUGGACAGCAACUGACGGUGAGGCGCGAAAGCGUGGGGAGCAAACAGGAUUAGAUACCCUGGUAGUC